UAAGGAGGAACCUGAAGAACACGCCGCGUGAGUGAUGACGGUCUUCGGAUCUGUAAAGCUCUGCUUGUUAGACAAGAACAGGUUGCUGAGAGUGCAAAGUUGCACGUGCUGACGGUGCCUUACCUAGAAACGCCACGUGCUAACUACAGUGCCACACACCCACGGGAAUUCAUAGGUCCCAAGCGUUGUCCGGAUUUAUUGGGCGUAAAGCGAGCGCAGGCGGUUCGUUAAUUCUGAACUUAAAGGCCGUGGCUCAACCCUUGUUCGCUUUGGAAACUGGCGAACUUGAGUGCCGAAGAGGAAAGUGGAAUUCCAUGUGUAGCGGUGAAAUGCGUAGAUAUAUGGAGGAACACCGGUGGCGAAAGCGACUCUCUGGACUGUAACUGACGCUGAGGCUCGAAAGCCUGGGGAGCGAACAGGAUUAGAUACCCUGGUAGUCCACGCCGUAAACGAUGAGUGCUAGGUGUUGGAGGCUUUCCCCCCUUCUGUGCCGCAGUUAACGCAUUAAGCACUCCGCCUGGGGAGUACGACCGCAAGGUUGAAACUCAAAGGAAUUGACGGG
RNAcentral lists this ribosomal RNA (562 nucleotides) under uncultured bacterium. RNAcentral describes it as "bacterial SSU rRNA". It matches the Rfam family "Bacterial small subunit ribosomal RNA", at positions 372 to 917 of the family's 1533-position model. The record is from RNAcentral.